UUUACACAUGCAAGUCGAGCGGCAGCGCGGGGGCAACCCUGGCGGCGAGCGGCGAACGGGUGAGUAAUGUAUCGGAACGUACCCAGUCGUGGGGGAUAACUAUCCGAAAGGAUAGCUAAUACCGCAUACGUCCUGAGGGAGAAAGCGGGGGACCGAAAGGCCUCGCGCGAUUGGAGCGGCCGAUAUCGGAUUAGCUAGUUGGUGAGGUAAAGGCUCACCAAGGCGACGAUCCGUAGCUGGUCUGAGAGGACGACCAGCCACACUGGAACUGAGACACGGUCCAGACUCCUACGGGAGGCAGCAGUGGGGAAUUUUGGACAAUGGGGGCAACCCUGAUCCAGCCAUUCCGCGUGAGUGAAGAAGGCCUUCGGGUUGUAAAGCUCUUUCGGCAGGAACGAAACGGUCU
This 406-nucleotide ribosomal RNA is filed under the name uncultured beta proteobacterium. RNAcentral describes it as "bacterial SSU rRNA". It matches the Rfam family "Bacterial small subunit ribosomal RNA", at positions 48 to 456 of the family's 1533-position model. Lineage: Bacteria; Pseudomonadati; Pseudomonadota; Betaproteobacteria. The record is from RNAcentral.